UACGGAGGGUGCAAGCGUUAUCCGGAAUCACUGGGUUUAAAGGGUGCGUAGGCGGUUAAAUAAGUCCGUUGUGAAAGCCACCAGCUUAACUGGGAGAACUGCGAUGGAUACUGUAUAACUUGAAUCAGGUUGAGGCAGGCGGAAUGCGACAUGUAGCGGUGAAAUGCAUAGAUAUGUCGUGGAACACCGAUUGCGAAGGCAGCUUACUAGACCUUGAUUGACGCUGAGGCACGAAAGCGUGGGGAGCAAACAGG
Molecule: ribosomal RNA, 254 nt
Filed under: uncultured bacterium
Lineage: Bacteria
Description: partial 16S ribosomal RNA
Rfam family: Bacterial small subunit ribosomal RNA
Source: RNAcentral